Molecule: ribosomal RNA, 245 nt
Filed under: uncultured archaeon
Lineage: Archaea
Description: partial 16S ribosomal RNA
Rfam family: Archaeal small subunit ribosomal RNA
Source: RNAcentral
CCCCAGCGCCACAAGUGGGGAUCGGUUUUAUUGGGUCUAAAGCGUUCGUAGCAGGUUCUGUAAAUCUCUUGUGAAAGUGUUGCGCUUAACGCACCACAUUGCAGGAAAGACUGCAGAACUCGGAAUUGGGAGGCGUAAACGGUAUUCUCGGGGGAGCGGUAAAAUGUUAUAAUCCCGAGAGGACCACCUGUGCCGAAGGGGGUUUACGAAUACAAAUUCGACUGUGAGGGACGAAAGCUAGGGGA